GGCGAACGCUGGCGGCGUGCUUAACACAUGCAAGUCGAACGGAAAGGCCCUGCUUUUGUGGGGUGCUCGAGUGGCGAACGGGUGAGUAACACGUGAGUAACCUGCCCUUGACUUUGGGAUAACUUCAGGAAACUGGGGCUAAUACCGGAUAGGAGCUCCUGCUGCAUGGUGGGGGUUGGAAAGUUUCGGCGGUUGGGGAUGGACUCGCGGCUUAUCAGCUUGUUGGUGGGGGAGUGGCUUACCAAGGCUUUGACGGGUAGCCGGCCUGAGAGGGUGACCGGCCACAUUGGGACUGAGAUACGGCCCAGACUCCUACGGGAGGCAGCAGUGGGGAAUAUUGCACAAUGGGCGGAAGCCUGAUGCAGCAACGCCGCGUGCGGGAUGACGGCCUUCGGGUUGUAAACCGCUUUCGCCUGUGACGAAGCGUGAGUGACGGUAAUGGGUAAAGAAGCACCGGCUAACUACGUG
This 468-nucleotide ribosomal RNA is filed under the name uncultured bacterium. RNAcentral describes it as "partial 16S ribosomal RNA". It matches the Rfam family "Bacterial small subunit ribosomal RNA", at positions 28 to 507 of the family's 1533-position model. The record is from RNAcentral.